CACGUAGGAGGCAAACGUUAUCCGGAUUUACUGGGCGUAAAGCGCGUGUAGGUGGUUCUGUAAGUAGGGCGUGAAAGCUCCCGGCUCAACUGGGAGAGGCCGUUCUAAACUGCAGAGCUAGAGGAUGGUAGAGGGAGGUGGAAUUCCAGGUGUAGCGGUGGAAUGCGCAGAUAUCUGGAGGAACACCAGUGGCGAAGGCGGCCUCCUGGACCAUUCCUGACACUCAGACGCGAAAGCUAGGGCAGCAAACGGGAUUAGAUAUCCCGGUA
This 269-nucleotide ribosomal RNA is filed under the name uncultured prokaryote. RNAcentral describes it as "partial 16S ribosomal RNA". It matches the Rfam family "Bacterial small subunit ribosomal RNA", at positions 524 to 792 of the family's 1533-position model. The record is from RNAcentral.